UCCCUGGAGGACGAGUGGUUAGGCCGCCACGCGCUCACCGCCAUGGCCUGGGUUCAAUUCCCGGCCAGGGAA
RNAcentral lists this transfer RNA (72 nucleotides) under Pangasius djambal. RNAcentral describes it as "tRNA-Glu". Lineage: Eukaryota; Metazoa; Chordata; Actinopteri; Siluriformes; Pangasiidae. The record is from RNAcentral.